Molecule: non-coding RNA, 165 nt
Filed under: uncultured Eubacterium sp.
Lineage: Bacteria; Bacillati; Bacillota; Clostridia; Eubacteriales; Eubacteriaceae
Description: Lysine riboswitch
Rfam family: Lysine riboswitch aptamer
About the family: Riboswitches are metabolite binding domains within certain messenger RNAs that serve as precision sensors for their corresponding targets. Allosteric rearrangement of mRNA structure is mediated by ligand binding, and this results in modulation of gene expression.
Source: RNAcentral
GAUAGUAGAGGUCGCGCUACUUAUGAGUACGAGAUGGGAUGCCACCGUAGGCAGGGGAACAUUUCGGAAAGGAAUUGGCGCCGAAGGUGAAGAUGUUGCGGAACAUUGAUCCUGGGCAUAUGAUUAAGAGUCAUAUGACUGUCAUCGAAAGAUGGAGAGCUACUU